This 442-nucleotide ribosomal RNA is filed under the name uncultured bacterium. RNAcentral's name for it is "partial 16S ribosomal RNA". It matches the Rfam family "Bacterial small subunit ribosomal RNA", at positions 338 to 795 of the family's 1533-position model. The record is from RNAcentral.
CCUACGGGGGGCAGCAGUGGGGGAUAUUGCACAAUGGGGGAAACCCUGAUGCAGCGACGCCGCGUGGGCGAAGAAGUAUUUCGGUAUGUAAAGCCCUAUCAGCAGGGAAGAAGAAAUGACGGUACCUGAGUAAGAAGCACCGGCUAAAUACGUGCCAGCAGCCGCGGUAAUACGUAGGGUGCAAGCGUUAUCCGGAUUUACAGGGUGUAAUGGGAGGGCAGGCGGGACGGCAAGCCUGGUGUGAAAGCCCGGGGCCCAACCGCGGGACUGCAGUGGGAACUACCGGGCUGGAGUGCCGGAGAGGUAGGCGGAAUUCCUAGUGUAGCGGUGAAAUGCGUAGAUAUUAGGAGGAACACCAGUGGCGAAGGCGGCCUACUGGACGGUGACUGACGCUGAGGCUCGAAAGCGUGGGGAGCAAACAGGAUUAGAUACCCGAGUAGUC